Heterocephalus glaber (naked mole-rat) is the source of this 880-nucleotide long non-coding RNA. Lineage: Eukaryota; Metazoa; Chordata; Mammalia; Rodentia; Bathyergidae. The record is from Ensembl.
CUAGAGGUGGGAAUCAUGAGAACGCUGACCUCAUCAGCAGGUUAAGACAUUGAUGAGCUCAUAGCUAAAUGAGUUACAAGGAAGUAGGGCCCAGAGGGAGGAAGCAGGUUACUGGAGGUGUGUGUGCCUGGAGGGUUAUAUCAGGUCCCCGGCCUCCUCCUGUCGGACUCUUUCCUCCUAAUUCUCCACAAGCCAAAACCUGAGAUGAGUAUCCCUGAAGACUGACCACAGGCCAGAGGCUGAGCCGCUGGGGCAAGAGAAGCAAGUGCAUUAGGCCCAAGCACAACAGCCGUAAGAAAGAGGUACUGUUCCUCCUGCCAUUUUGCAGAUAAGCCUGCUGAGGCUUGAAGUUUUAACAGCCCUUCAGGGUAAGCUGCCAAGUUAGGACCUGCGCCCAGGACCAGCUCAUCCCCAAACUCUUGCUCUAAGCUGCUCUGCCACCAUGUUAACACUAGCUUGUAAGUGUACACUUUCUGAGGCUUCUCCCUCUCAAGUAGCUGGUAACUUUCAAAUAUGUGUGUAUAACAUGUAGUCUCAAGAGGGCCGGGGAUUUAGCUCAGUGGUGCCACCUCCUGCCUCAAAAGCGCAAGGUCCUGAGUUCGAUCUCAGGUAUUAAAAAAAAAAGCAGUCUCAAGAAGUAAGAGUUUGUUCUAUAUCCUUAAGAUACAGAAAUGUAAAUUUAGGAAAUGGGAAUACUGACAUCUGAAAAAUAAAUAAUGGAACCCAACUUAUAGUGUUUCUGAUACAGUCAAGUGAAAAGCAGUGUAAAAGCCAUUGCUUCUUUGGGUUUGUCUGCCUUCUUAUUUCUUUUGUGGUCACGAGCAUUACCAGUGGAGAGCUUGGGUUUGUCAUAGGCAGACGUCUAAUCCUUUCGGAAAAG